This 266-nucleotide unclassified non-coding RNA is filed under the name uncultured Craterellus. RNAcentral describes it as "sequence contains ITS2". The record is from RNAcentral. Lineage: Eukaryota; Fungi; Basidiomycota; Agaricomycetes; Cantharellales; Hydnaceae.
GAACCUCUCAAAGGGUUUUUGGUUUUAAAACCCUUUGGAUUUGGGUCUUGCCGUGAAAUUCUAUCUUGGCUCACCUUGAAAGCAUUAGCAAAGCUUUUCAGCACUUGAAAGUCUUUUUGGAAUGAUGGGCGUUGUUAAUUUGGUCAGGCCUCCUUGAGAGGAAUCUUCAUACGUCUCAGUCAUCAAAAGUCUCAGUGAUUUUGAAACUUGCUUCCAAUGAUCCUUAUAAAGGAUAAAGGCCCCCUUCCUGGCCUUUUUCAAUGUAU